UAACGCGAAGAACCUUACCAAAUCUUGACAUCCUCUGACCCCUCUAGAGAUAGAGUUUUCCCCUUCGGGGGACAGAGUGACAGGUGGUGCAUGGUUGUCGUCAGCUCGUGUCGUGAGAUGUUGGGUUAAGUCCCGCAACGAGCGCAACCCUUAAGCUUAGUUGCCAUCAUUAAGUUGGGCACUCUAAGUUGACUGCCGGUGACAAACCGGAGGAAGGUGGGGAUGACGUCAAAUCAUCAUGCCCCUUAUGAUUUGGGCUACACACGUGCUACAAUGGACAAUACAAAGGGCAGCGAAACCGCGAGGUCAAGCAAAUCCCAUAAAGUUGUUCUCAGUUCGGAUUGUAGUCUGCAACUCGACUANAUGAAGCUGGAAUCGCUAGUAAUCGUAGAUCAGCAUGCUACGGUGAAUACGUUCCCGGGUCUUGUACACACCGA
RNAcentral lists this ribosomal RNA (437 nucleotides) under uncultured Staphylococcus sp. Its description in RNAcentral is "bacterial SSU rRNA". It matches the Rfam family "Bacterial small subunit ribosomal RNA", at positions 957 to 1393 of the family's 1533-position model. The record is from RNAcentral. Lineage: Bacteria; Bacillati; Bacillota; Bacilli; Caryophanales; Staphylococcaceae.